Molecule: ribosomal RNA, 446 nt
Filed under: uncultured bacterium
Lineage: Bacteria
Description: partial 16S ribosomal RNA
Rfam family: Bacterial small subunit ribosomal RNA
Source: RNAcentral
CCUACGGGCGGCAGCAGUCGAGAAUCAUUCACAAUGGGGGAAACCCUGAUGGUGCGACGCCGCGUGGGGGAAUGAUGGUCUUCGGAUUGUAAACCCCUGUCAUGUGGGAGCAAAUUAAAAAGAUAGUACCACAAGAGGAAGAGACGGCUAACUCGGUGACAGCAGCCGCGGUAAUACAGAGGUCUCAAGCGUUGUUCGGAAUCACUGGGCGUAAGGCGUGCGUAGGCUGUUUCGUAAGUCGUGUGUGAAAGGCGCGGGCUCAACCCGCGGACGGCACAUGAUACUGCGAGCCUAGAGUAAUGGAGGGGGAACCGGAAUUCUCGGUGUAGCAGUGAAAUGCGUAGAUAUCGAGAGGAACACUCGUGGCGAAGGCGGGUUCCUGGACAUUAACUGACGCUGAGGCACGAAGGCCAGGGGAGCGAAAGGGAUUAGAUACCCGGGUAGUC